UGAGGAAUAUUGGACAAUGGGCGAAAGCCUGAUCCAGCAACGCCGCGUGAGUGAAGAAGGCCUUAGGGUUGUAAAGCUCUUUUAGUAGGGAAGAGAAUAAUUUAUUAUUGGACGGUACUUACAGAAAAAGUCCCGGCUAACUUCGUGCCAGCAGCCGCGGUAAUACGAAGGGGGCAAGCGUUACUCGGAAUUAUUGGGCGUAAAGCGUGCGCAGGCUGUCCUGCAAGUUAAAAGUGAAAUCCUUGGGCCCAACCCAAGAACUGCUUUUAAAACUGUGGGACUUGAGUAUCAGAGAGGAUAGCGGAAUUCCUAGUGUAGAGGUGAAAUUCGUAGAUAUUAGGAGGAACAUCAGAGGCGAAAGCGGCUAUCUGGCUGAAUACUGACGCUGAUGCACGAAAGCGUGGGGAGCAAACA
Molecule: ribosomal RNA, 414 nt
Filed under: bacterium symbiont of Euplotes sp.
Lineage: Bacteria
Description: bacterial SSU rRNA
Rfam family: Bacterial small subunit ribosomal RNA
Source: RNAcentral